This 87-nucleotide transfer RNA is filed under the name Puccinia triticina 1-1 BBBD Race 1. RNAcentral's name for it is "Puccinia triticina tRNA PTTG_20053". Lineage: Eukaryota; Fungi; Basidiomycota; Pucciniomycetes; Pucciniales; Pucciniaceae. The record is from RNAcentral.
GCGUCUUUAGCCUAGUUGGUAAGAGGCAGCACUGUAGUAUGUGUCUCAGCAUAGCUGAGUUUGUGAGUUUGAAUCUCACCAGACACA